Long non-coding RNA from Neofelis nebulosa (Clouded leopard), 3916 nucleotides. RefSeq lists it as uncharacterized. The transcript has 2 exons. NCBI's taxonomy places the organism in Eukaryota, Metazoa, Chordata, Mammalia, Carnivora, Felidae. The record is from RefSeq and is a predicted model, not a curated record.
GUAGGCAUGGAGAACUAGGUACUAUUUAACGAAAAUCGUGAUUUAAUAGCAUGUUUUAUGUGGCUUGUUGGUUUCUCUUUUUAAUUUAGAGUAGUCGUUAUGUUUGAGAUCUUCAUUACAUUUCACGUACCAGAACUCACUGUUCUUUCUUAAGUUGGAACCUGAGGGCUUUUCUAAUUCCCAAAUGCCUGGCAGAGGUAGAAUAGCUGGAUGAGAACCUGGGAGGAAAAAUUACAGGAGGUGUGGCAUGGUCAGUCAGAGGAGGAUAUGGGUAUUUCGGCAGCACCAGACUUUAAGGGAUGACAGAGAUAUCACAUUAAAGUAACCAUGCAGAACUGGAAAUACGUACUUGGAGCUUCCCCCACCCCAGGAAGUUUCCAGUAUACUGGCACUUGCUCAGUGUCUGAAGAGAUAAGUAUCUACAUGAUUGGCAUAUGUUCUAGGCUUUAUCCAUAGUCAGGAAGUGUUUUCCACCCUACAAGUUCCCCUUGAAUUCAUUGGAGGUACAAUUGUAUGAUACAAAUUUACUGAAUGAACUAAGCUAAUGAAUAAAUGUAUAAGUCUUUAAUAUCAGUUCCUUUACUUGUCUUUAAAGUUUAUAUCAAUAUGUACUCCUGGAUUCUUAUUUUAUCUAAUGAGAUAGAAUCUACUACUAAUAGUCUGUUUUGAAGCUCAAAUUGUUUGCUUUGCCCUGUGGGGGCUCCUUCAAGAUGGUUGCUGUCCUUUUGACAUGUGCUUUUGAUUAUUUGAAUACUUUGUUGCUUCUUUAUAUAACAAAAUGUUCCAAUUUUAUCUUACUUUUUCCCCAGCUCUGGAAUCUGCCUCCCCACCCCCACCAAGGAACCCUGUUCCCUUUUGUGAAGAAUCAUAUUUAGAAACCAAGAUAGGAUAUUUUGACUUAUUUAUUGCUGUUAGUGGGCCAUUAUUUCUAAGUCUUUUCAGUGGACAGACCUAGGAAAUAUGUGUGUAUAUAUAUGUAAUAUAUUAACUACCUUUAUAUAUAUUAAAAAUGAUUUCAUGCUGAUACUUCCCAUUAAUAUCACAAAUCCCUUUACUUUUCAUAAGAAGAGAUAAUCACUGGCUUAUUUGUGAACAAAAUACUAACAUUUUUGAAGAGAUCUGAAAAGUAAUAAUAUUGAUCUCAAAGCCCAUUCAAAUAAGUUUUAUUAAUAUUUAAACAUAGCAUAUAUUAGAAUCUUAGAUAUUGGAGGAAGACAUUAUCUAGGACUGUGAUCAAGAUGUUAUACCGUAGACUCUUGAAGUCAGUUUCUGGAUCUGUGUUGAAAUAGAAAAAUAAGAUAAAAGGGUAAAAGAUUGUCUUAAUCCUUCUCAACAUUGUUAACUACACGGAGAAAGCGUAUUAAGCAUGCAUGACACCCAGAAUCUUGAAAUGAAUGCAUAUUUAUGAGAGGAGUAUAAACAAAUAAGGAAGUGUUACAGUGACAUAGUGACACUACCUACUGGGAAAAAUACUAGUGUUUCUCAUUGGAUAAAUAUGUGGAUACAGUCCUAAUACUAGCCAUUCCACUUAGCAAUAGCUUGACUAUUAUUUGACUACUAAUGAGAAUAACUUGGCCAGAGAUGAAGAGGAGGAGUUGUGAACAUCUAAACAAUGGGACUUGCAUCAUAAAAGCCCUAGGGCUAUGUAAUCUAGUUCUUACAGACUUUUCUCCCAGGAGACUUGGAGAACUUUUCUCUAAUGGUCUGUGUCUCCUCCACUAGGUUGAAAACCAGAGCCUCUCUACCUGGUUUACUAAUCCCAAAGAUUAAUUCAGUAGAAGUCCUCGCUUAUUUUUACUGGUUCCUUUGCUUUAUCUGGGAAAAUAAAGUGUAAAAAGUAUAGUUGAUGGUUUAGAGUUUGUUUUAUGUGUAUAGUAAAUCAAAGAUCCCCAUUUUAAUACGGCAUCCUCUAUGCACUUGCUAAAUACUCCCUUGUAAUAAUUUAAUGACCUGAAAAUGAUGUAAAUAUAUAUACGUAUAUACUCAUGUUAUUUUUAACUUCAGAAAUCAGUGUCUUAAAAGUGAAUACCUGAAGAACUACCACUGUCAUUAGAAAAAUUUUUUGACCAGUGUUUGAAGGUAAAAUUAAGUAACACUGAAUAAGGAGUUAUUAUGUGAUAUACAUCAUAUGUAUUACAUUUUACUUAUUUAUCAAAACUAUGUAUUUGCUAGAGCUCUUAUUAUUCCCAUUUUAUAGAAGAAGAAACUGAGAUUAUAUACUUUAUUGAACUUGGUCAGCCUCUUGUAACUAAUACAUAAUAGAGAUAGGAUUUAGGGGCGCCUGGGUGGUUCAGUCGGUUAAGUGUCCAACUUCGGCUCAGGUCAUGAUCUCACGGUCCGUGGGUUCGAGCCCCGUGUCGGGCUCUGUGCUGACUGCUCAGAGCCUGGAGCCUGCUUCAGAUUUUGUGUCUCCCUCUCUCUCUGACCCUCCCCUGUUCAUGCUCUGUCUCUCUCUGUCUCAACAAUAAAUAAACAUUAAAAAAAAAUUUUUUUUAAUAGAGAUAGGAUUUAAAGCCACAUAUGUUUGAUUCUAGACCCCAUACCGUCUUGAGUGCAUCACAUAAAACUUUGCACUGUCCUUGGCGAAAAACAACUUUUGCUAAGUUGAUUCCUUACUUUGUGGUCCAUAAAGGAAGGAUGUUGGUCUAUCUUAGCGAUCUCUAUAUUUUUAAUAAGCAAUAAAUAAUAUUCACCACACAUAAUAGCUUUUUUCAUGGUCUGUAUUCAUUAUUGCAAAAUAACUAUGACUCAGUGAUGCUUUGAACUUAAUUUUAUUCAUUAAAAUACAUCUGUAUAUGCAUAUGAAAAUACCAGUUGUGACAACAGAAUAGAGAGUUUUGUUUUGAAAGGUAACUUAAUUUGUAACUGAUAAUUGACCAUAAGUAGAUUAUGAAGGUAUAGAAAACAUAUAUGUGGGUAAAAGUUGGCCUGGAGUUAAUUUUUUUCUUUCUUUUUUUAAUAGAGUUGUUGCCAUUAAACUUUUUUGUUGAAGUAUCAUCAACAUACAGUGUUAUUAGUGUCAGGUGCACAAUAUAACGAUUCAAUAAUUCUGUACAUUACUCAGCACUCAUCAUGAUAAACAUACUCUUAAUCCCCCUUAUCUGUUUCACUCUUCCCCUACCCACCUCCCUUCUGGUAACUACCAGUUUGUCCUUUGUAUUUAAGAGUCUGGUUUUUUGUUUGUCUCUUUUUCUUUGUUCAUUUAUUUUGUUUCUUAAAUUCCACAGAUGAGUGAAAUCAUGUGGUAUUUGUCUUUCUCUGCAACUUGCAUCCAUAUCUUGGCUAUUGUAAAUAAUGCUGCAGUAAACAUAAGGGUGCCUGGGGUCAUCUUAAAUGAACUUUAUCCAAAAGGGCUGCCUAAUAAGCAGUAGGAUCCCAUCAGAGAGUCCAUGAAGAGAUGAACUGAGAACCAAAUCACAAUGAAGUGCAGGGGAGAGGAUGCUUACCAAUGAAUGGAGAGAGAAGUAAUGAUCUGAAAACCCUGCAAAGAACUGAAACACCCUGCAACAGAAAAACACAAGAGUCAGCUUUGACACCUGUCAAACCAGAGAGCAAUGAUGGCAGCUUACAAAAGUACCAGCCUAUGCCUUCAUCUCUCCUCCAUCCACCAUCUUGAAGCCUGGCGUGAUCAGAAACAGUACAAGUUAGCAAUUUCAGAGAGGAAGAAAGACAAGUUUGAAAAGUAGGGGAAUAUCUGUCCAAGCCAUACUGUACCCUGCAGGCCUGCCUUCUGUUGCAUAGCUGAUUAGCCUACAGCACAUCUGAAGAGGGAGAAGCCGUCUUGCCUCUAUGACUAGACAGGCAUGAGGAUAAAAUCUCUGUGAGGAUAAUGGAACAAAGUUGUAGAAGGGGCCUAGAGUCCCUUCCUUUGGACUUCUUGUUAUGUGAGGAAAAUAAAAUGCUACUACAAGGUUAA